Parambassis ranga (Indian glassy fish) is the source of this 1788-nucleotide long non-coding RNA. NCBI's taxonomy places the organism in Eukaryota, Metazoa, Chordata, Actinopteri, Ambassidae. The record is from Ensembl.
AUGUGUGUCUGUGACCUCAUCAUCCGAGCCGCCCUGAACUUUCUCAGACGUCUUGUUUCUGGAUCAUUUGGUAAAGCUGUGUGUGAAUUAUUGACAUAUUCUUUUAUGGAACAUUUAUUUGUUUUUAAUGUUGUGAGCAUUUCAUGUCUCUGUGUCCUCCUCAUAGUUUUGUCUCUCUCUCUCUCUCCCAUUAUGUUUGCUGCAUGUUUGUUCCUCUCUCUCUCUCCUUCAUCCUCUCUGUCCUGUCUCCCUCUUCUUCUCUCCUCUCUCUCUCUCCUUCAUCCUCUCUGUCCUGUCUCCCUCUUCUUCUCCUCUCUCUCUCCUUCAUCCUCUCUGUCCUGUCUCCCUCUUCUUCUCUCUCUCUCCUUCAUCCUCUCUGUCCUGUCUCCCUCUUCUUCUCUCUCUCUCUCUCUCCUUCAUCCUCUCUGUCCUGUCUCCCUCUUCUUCUCCUCUCUCUCUCUCCUUCAUCCUCUCUGUCCUGUCUCCCUCUCUCCUCUCUCUCUCUCUUCAUCCUCUCUGUCCUGUCCUCCCUCUUCUUCUCCUCUCUCUCUUCUUCAUCCUCUCUGUCCUGUCUCCCUCUUCUUCUCCUCUCUCUCUCUCCUUCAUCCUCUCUGUCCUGUCUCCCUCUUCUUCUCUCUCUCUCCUUCAUCCUCUCUGUCCUGUCUCCCUCUUCUUCUCCUCUCUCUCUCCUUCAUCCUCUCUGUCCUGUCUCCCUCUUCUUCUCCUCUCUCUCUUCUUCAUCCUCUCUGUCCUGUCUCCCUCUUCUUCUCCUCUCUCUCUCUCCUUCAUCCUCUCUGUCCUGUCUCCCUCUUCUCCUCUCUCUCUCCUUCAUCCUCUGUCCUGUCUCCCUCUUCUUCUCCUCUCUCUCUCUCCUUCAUCCUCUCUGUCCUGUCUCCCUCUUCUUCUCUCUCUCUCUCUCUCCUUCAUCCUCUCUGUCCUGUCUCCCUCUUCUUCUCCUCUCUCUCUCUCCUUCAUCCUCUCUGUCCUGUCCCUCUUCUUCUCCUCUCUCUCUCCUUCAUCCUCUGUCCUGUCUCCCUCUUCUUCUCCUCUCUCUCUCUCCUUCAUCCUCUCUGUCCUGUCUCCCUCUUCUCCUCUCUCUCUCUCUCUCCUUCAUCCUCUCUGUCCUGUCUCCCUCUUCUCCUCUCUCUCUUCUUCAUCCUCUCUGUCCUGUCUCCCUCUUCUCCUCUCUCUCUCUCUCUCCUUCAUCCUCUCUGUGCUGUCUCCCUCUUCUCCUCUCUCCUUCAUCCUCUCUGUCCUGUCUCCCUCUUCUCCUCUCUCUCUCUCUCUUCUUCAUCCUCUCUGUCCUGUCUCCCUCUUCUCCUCUCUCUCUCUCUCUCCUUCAUCCUCUCUGUCCUGUCUCCCUCUUCUUUUCCUCUCUCUCUCUUCUUCAUCCUCUCUGUCCUGUCUCCCUCUUCUUCUCCUCUCUCUCUCUCCUUCAUCCUCUCUGUCCUGUCUCCCUCUUCUCCUCUCUCUCUUCUUCAUCCUCUCUGUCCUGUCUCCCUCUUCUUCUCCUCUCUCUCUCUUCUUCAUCCUCUCUGUCCUGUCUCCCUCUUCUUCUCCUCUCUCUCUCUCCUUCAUCCUCUCUGUCCUGUCUCCCUCUUCUCCUCUCUCUCUUCUUCAUCCUCUCUGUCCUGUCUCCCUCUUCUUCUCCUCUCUCUCUCUUCUUCAUCCUCUCUGUCCUGUCUCCCUCUUCUUCCUCUCUCUCUCUCCUUCAUCGUCUCUGUCCUGUCUCCCUCUUCUUUUCCUCCUCUUCCCGGCCGACUGUCAGCAGGAAGGUUCUCCUUUUGA